RNAcentral lists this ribosomal RNA (253 nucleotides) under uncultured Myxococcales bacterium. RNAcentral's name for it is "partial 16S ribosomal RNA". It matches the Rfam family "Bacterial small subunit ribosomal RNA", at positions 524 to 776 of the family's 1533-position model. The record is from RNAcentral. Lineage: Bacteria; Pseudomonadati; Myxococcota; Myxococcia; Myxococcales.
GACAGAGGGUGCGAACGUUGCUCGGAAUCACUGGGCGUAAAGCGCGUGUAGGCGGACUUGUAAGUCAGGUGUGAAAUCCCUGGGCUCAACCUAGGAACUGCAUCUGAAACUGCUCGUCUUGAGUGUCGGAGAGGGAAGCGGAAUUCCUGGUGUAGAGGUGAAAUUCGUAGAUAUCAGGAGGAACACCGGUGGCGAAGGCGGCUUCCUGGACGACUACUGACGCUGAGACGCGAAAGCGUGGGGAGCAAACAGG